Coturnix japonica (Japanese quail) is the source of this 4538-nucleotide long non-coding RNA. RefSeq lists it as uncharacterized. The record is from RefSeq and is a predicted model, not a curated record. Lineage: Eukaryota; Metazoa; Chordata; Aves; Galliformes; Phasianidae.
CUGGGAGGCUAUUUUUUGCGAGGGUUGACUAAAUAUGGUCAGGGAAGAGCGAGGCGCGGGGGAGCCGGGCGGCCCGGCUGUGCGUGUUUCAAAUGCUUAGCCGCCUAUAAAGCCCGGCGGCGGGGCUGCGGGCCGCCAGCGGCAGUGCGGGCGGCGGGGCGCUGACCUCUGCGGACGGAAGGCACGAGGGCUCCGGCAGCGCAGCUCGGGCACGGCGAAGGAACCACCACUGCGGGGAGAGUGGAAGGGGGGGUAGGGGGUGGAGAGACGAUCGCUGCCUUGAUUUUGAUUUUGAAUUUUUCUGAAGACUCCCAACUUUUUUGGGGGGGGCUGUUUUUUAUUUUUUGCCCGUGACUACUUUCAUCUAAGCCCACCUUCUCAUGGCUUGCCAGCACCCAUCCUUGGACUCUUAGCUCCCAGCCCAGCAGCCGUGAGGUACCAUCUCUCCACCACCACCACCCACCACCCCACCGCAGGCUGCAGGUGCCCCGCACCUCUCCGCAAUCCGCAGGCCCAGCCCGAGGAGCUGGGCCCUGGCCGCACCGCUGCCAGCCUGCAUGACCCUGAGCUCAGGUUCCUACAUGAAGCACGUACAUGGAAGUAUGCCUGAAGACCUCAGAGAAAGCUGCCAUUUUUGCACUGGAAUACAACUCUGAAUCUCAAGAACACAUCCUGCAACAUUACCAGUGAUUCAAGGCUCCGUUCAACCCUGGUCACUCAGAACAGCAAGCAGCUGCAGAAGCCUGGAUAAGCACUUCUCAUGUCAGUGCCAUCAGAGUAAUGAACUAUAACAGGCUUUAAGCCACCGUACAGGUAAAUUGCAUUGCUAAGUUCAGUUAGAUUAAUAAGAUGGGUUUUUCUAUCAUCAGUUAAUUGUAACGUUGUACUCCCAAAGAAAUCUCAGCCUCCAAUUUUACUUAAUGAAAGAAACAGUAAGCAGCAAAGGGCUUUUCAGGUUCACCUGACAGGUAGCAGAGCAACUCUACAGGUACCUGCUCAGAGCACAUACUUCUUUAUGUACCCAUAUGAACAUACAAUGCUAUGGAAUGUAAAGAAGUAUGUAUUUUUGGCAGGCACAGAACGACCAGUAAGAGGAAACUAACAGCUGUUGGGAAGAGCGUGCUUCCCCACUAUUUGAAUGACAUUCAAGUGACAAGUUAACUGGCUAAGGGUCAGCCAGCACUGCCUAAAUAACAUAUACUUAUUAGUAACAACUCACAAAGCAUUAAAUUAAGGGACUAUAUACGUGGGCUGAGAAAGUUUUUCUUGGAUUACUAACAGAACAUCAGCUGUAAUCACAAAACCCACAGUGAGGCUGGGAACAAAUAGUUCAACGUGCUAAUUCCAAUCAGCAAAAGUUAUCAUUACAGUACACUUCAUACAGCAGAUCUAAACAAACUUUAAAAGCCCAAUUACCAAAACAGAUCUCAUUUAACCAAGCCAUUGUUUUACUGAUGGCAGCAAGUUCUGUGCACCUACAAUGGCACCUUUUCAAUUCGCAUCUACUAUGGAAUAUUUAACAACUUACAGAGUGCAACUAGGACAACAAGCAGAAAGAGAUGAGAAAUUAAGGCUGUGAUUUAGAGAAAAGGAUAUACAGAAGUAUAUUAAGUGCAAUGACAUCUACCAUUUAGUAUAUAACAUUUAGGUUAGAAUUUUCUCCAAAUCAGCAUUUACUGUGUUCACUGAGCUCUUUGGUACAAACUGCUGUGUCUGGUUUAUGCACAGAAAGUGACAAUACAGAGAUUUCUAGGCCCCAGUUGCUAGUCAGCAGAUUAAAGCUAUUGACAGAUUCCUAAAGGGAAACACGAAUGGCAAAUAAUACUUACCUAAGUUACCUUACACGUCAUUUUCAAAUUAACUGCAUUGACUUUAAAUCUGGAUUUAAGAAAACUGGCCAUGCAAACAUCUUGAAUCACCUCAAAAAUUUUAAGACCUACUCUAUAAAAAAAGUCCCACAAGUUUCAAGUUCUAAAAGCAGGAUUAAUUAAAGUAAGCGAAUACAUACCAUCCCUAAGCUAAGGGGCUCAAUGCUAAAUUCAGAAAUAGGGGAAAAUCUGAGGAAUACUCUCAGCUCACCAGUACAGCAAUUCUAUUCAUAAAGCAGCCUUCUAAGAGCAGUUAGAUGAUACAUUCAUGAGAAGCAGGCACAUUUGGCCCAGAUUAAGAAUUCUAACUCUAUCCAUGUGCUUAUUAAAAUGUCUGGGGGAAAAAACAAACAAACAAACAAACCAAAACCACAAAGCAACAAACCAAGUUUAGAUUGAGAACCUUUUUUAAAGUACUCGAAUAAUUCUCAAAUCGCUGUUAUACAUAGCCUGCUAUUUUUAUUACCUGAAACUAUGGAAUAACGCACAGAAGAAAGAACGUUCUCUAAUCAGAACCGUUUAUGCUAAAGUGAAAUGCUAACAUCACUUAAAAAGCUGUUUCUCUUAGAAGCAGAUAUUGUGGCAUAGAGACAAUGGCAUCUCUAAAUCCCAAUUAAAAUCUACUUUAUAGCGGGAAACAAACCACAGUGGCUAUUCUCAACUGUGAUGCUACUGAACUCGAUCACACUCACAGAAGUAGUCUGGUAUUACCACCAGCUUUACAGAGAGGUUAAUUGCUAAGCAUCCAGUUGUUCUACUGAAGAGUUCCUGUCCUAUGUGCUAAUUGAUUUGGCCUCUGCUCUAUGCUCAAACUUUUUAACAUCUCGAAUGUAUUUAGAGAGGUUUUUGGUAACAAGUCAUCAUGUCGAGUUCUUUCUCCUCUGCUUUGUGUAACAUUACAGCUCUGUUCCGAAACAAAAUGACAGUUCUGAGUGACACAGAAGUUAAAAUUAUACCUUGACACUGCUUCCUGCUAGUUCAUGUUAGCGUAGCUCUAAGAAUACAUACCCAGUCACUCUGAAAUGUCACAUCCAUCAGUUAGAUCAGCUGUUCGGUUUUUAACUGAGCACACGUUGAACUUUGGGCAUCUGCUGACACAGUUGCAACUCAAACAUUUCAACUGUGUGACUGACAGGGAUAACAGAUGCUGACAUUAUCAAAUGCUACACGGCUUUUUUUCCAUGGCCGUUUUUUGUCCCGAUAUGGCCAGUACAUGCAACUGUAUUACCAUCCAAAAGCACACUUGAGCAGCUGUAUCUGUAAAACAGUUCUGUAUAACUGGUAAAAAUAGAAACUCAUUUUAUAACCAUCUUUAAUGCUGAAGUCCAAGUGACACACCUGCUAUGUUUCUAUUAGCAUGCAUGCUGUUGGGAAUAUAUUUACAUAAAUCUUCUCACCAGUAUCAGACCUUGCAGCACAGAUGCAGACUAUACUUGACACAGUCAUUAGUAGUGAAUGGCUUCAACUAACUUUUGUCUACCAUUUCCCACUGCAGUCAAAGCUCAUUAAAAAAAAAAAAAAAAAAAAGAAAAAGAAAACACCACCGAAGUCAGCACACGACAUAUAAAAAGCUGUGGUAGCAUGUGCAAAUGUAUUAAAGGAGUUUUGGUUUAGGAGGAAAAAAAGCCAAACCAAACAGAUUAAAUCCCAGAUCAUUUUAAAAACUGCAUUUUUCCUGAUAUAUAACGUUUACAUAUACAAACAAGUAGGGGAAAAAAAAUUAUCUGUCUUGCUAUAUUAUGUAAUCAUUCCUAAAAAGUUAAUACUAACCAGAGAUAUAGUGAUGGAAUUGAAAGCACUUGACAUUUACACUUGUGCUAACCAAGUACAGCACUAAAGCAGCUGCAGAGGGUAACCUGCCAGAAAACCAAGGGGGUAGGGAGGUGGCAAAAUGAAACCUUCUCUCCAGUAAAUGCUUAACACUGGGAGGCAAAGGAGCCUGACAUGAGUACAACCUGAAGUACACCGUUUCUGCUCACUGCUCUAGAAUUUCACUAUUGCAGAUCAAAAAGAGUUUAAACUGUGAGUAGAAUUUGAGCUGAGUCUCAAAGAAAUAGGCAAGGAAAACACAAGGUUGUAUGUGUGAGGCCUCACUGGUACAUCUCUCUCCAUUUUGCCACUUCAAAAUUAAAGAAUUUACAUUUGCAAUGACUGGAAACAAAACACGUAACACAGGAGGAAGCCACGUGUUCUUUGUGAAUGCUCCACGUAUGCUAAGGGGUCUUAAAAAUACAUUAUUAAAUUAUAACCUUCCUGCACUCCAAUGCUUUGCUAAAGCUGGUAAAAUGGAACCAAAUCACCUCUUCAAUGGAUUUGGUCCCCUUCAACCAGCUGUAGCUAUGCAUUGAUCACUACAGGAUUUUUAUUUAUUCAUUUUAACAUAUUUAAAGCUAGACAGUAAGCCAGAAUUAUAUUAUUAUACAAUAUAUUAAUUAUAUAUAUAAUACAUAAUUAUUCAGUCCUUUGCAGAGAGGGUUAAUUUUGUUCCAGGCACUUAUAAGACUGAAAGUAACAAGAAUUACAGUGAAUUCAGUAUUUCAAAAAUCCCAAGGUUGCACCUGUAAAUAAACAGCUUUAGUGUUUUAAUAUCAUGUCUAUAUCCAUUGCAAACUGAUCUUACAGCAUUUUUGAAGAUAGGCAAACAGUGAAAUAAACACAUUUUCCAAUGAC